GGGCUGCAGUAUUUUGACUGUACAAAGGUAGCAUAAUCAUUAGUCUCUUAAUUGGUGACUUGUAUGAAAGAUUGGAUGAAAUAUAUACUGUCUCUAAUUAAUUUGUAAAAUUUAAUUUUUUAGUAAAAAAGCUAAAAUAAUUUUAAAAGACGAGAAGACCCUAUAGAGUUUAAUAAUUUAUUUUAUUACUAUUGUUAUUUAAAAUUUUAAAUUGAAAUAGAAUAAAUUAUUUUGUUGGGGUGACAAAAAAAUUAAAUUAACUUUUUUUUAUAAUAAACAUUAAUUUAUGAAUAUAUGAUCCAUUAAUAUUGAUUAGAAGAAAAAAUUACCUUAGGGAUAACAGCGUAAUUUUUUUUUUUAGUUCAAAUAGGAAAAAAAGUUUGCGACC
This 388-nucleotide ribosomal RNA is filed under the name Papilio gigon gigon. Its description in RNAcentral is "partial 16S ribosomal RNA". Lineage: Eukaryota; Metazoa; Arthropoda; Insecta; Lepidoptera; Papilionidae. The record is from RNAcentral.